This 473-nucleotide ribosomal RNA is filed under the name Tannerella forsythia. RNAcentral describes it as "bacterial SSU rRNA". It matches the Rfam family "Bacterial small subunit ribosomal RNA", at positions 28 to 496 of the family's 1533-position model. The record is from RNAcentral. Lineage: Bacteria; Pseudomonadati; Bacteroidota; Bacteroidia; Bacteroidales; Tannerellaceae.
GAUGAACGCUAGCGAUAGGCUUAACACAUGCAAGUCGAGGGGCAUCGAGGGUAGCAAUACCUGUCGGCGACCGGCGCACGGGUGAGUAACGCGUAUGUAACCUGCCCGCAACAGAGGGAUAACCCGGCGAAAGUCGGACUAAUACCUCAUAAAACAGGGGUUCCGCAUGGGGCUAUUUGUUAAAGAUUUAUUGGUUGCGGAUGGGCAUGCGUACCAUUAGGUAGUUGGUGAGGUAACGGCUCACCAAGCCAUCGAUGGUUAGGGGUUCUGAGAGGAAGGUCCCCCACACUGGUACUGAGACACGGACCAGACUCCUACGGGAGGCAGCAGUGAGGAAUAUUGGUCAAUAGGCGAGAGCCUGAACCAGCCAAGUCGCGUGAAGGAUGACUGCCCUAUGGGUUGUAAACUUCUUUUACAGGGGAAUAAAAUGAGAUACGUGUAUUUUAUUGCAUGUACCUUGUGAAUAGCAUCGG